UACGUAGGGGGCUAGCGUUGUCCGGAAUCAUUGGGCGUAAAGCGCGUGUAGGCGGCCCGGUAAGUCCGCUGUGAAAGUCGGGGGCUCAACCCCGGGCCUGCAUUCGAUACGGGCAGACUAGAGUUCGGUAGGGGAGUCUGGAAUUCCUGGUGUAGCGGUGAAAUGCGCAGAUAUCAGGAGGAACACCAAUGGCGAAGGCAGCACUCUGGGACGUGACUGACGCUGAGACGCGAAAGCGUGGGGAGCAAACAGG
RNAcentral lists this ribosomal RNA (253 nucleotides) under uncultured bacterium. RNAcentral describes it as "partial 16S ribosomal RNA". It matches the Rfam family "Bacterial small subunit ribosomal RNA", at positions 524 to 776 of the family's 1533-position model. The record is from RNAcentral.